UACGGAGGGUGCAAACGUUGCUCGGAAUCAUUGGGCGUAAAGCGCACGUAGGCGGCCUGUUAAGUCGGGUGUGAAAUCCCUCGGCUCAACCGAGGAAGUGCAUUCGAAACUGGCGGGCUUGAGUAUGGAAGAGGGUCGUGGAAUUCCCGGUGUAGAGGUGAAAUUCGUAGAUAUCGGGAGGAACACCAGUGGCGAAGGCGGCGACCUGGGCCAAUACUGACGCUGAGGCACGAAAGCGUGGGGAGCAAACAGG
RNAcentral lists this ribosomal RNA (253 nucleotides) under uncultured prokaryote. RNAcentral describes it as "partial 16S ribosomal RNA". It matches the Rfam family "Bacterial small subunit ribosomal RNA", at positions 524 to 776 of the family's 1533-position model. The record is from RNAcentral.